ACGGAAGGCAGCAGUGGGGAAUAUUGGGCAAUGGGCGAAAGCCUGACCCAGCGACGCCGCGUGAAGGAAGAAGGUCUUCGGAUUGUAAACUUUUGUCGUCGGGGAAGAAGAAAGUGACGGUACCCGAUAAGAAAGCCACGGCUAACUACGUGCCAGCAGCCGCGGUAAUACGUAGGUGGCGAGCGUUAUCCGGAUUUACUGGGUGUAAAGGGUGUAUAGGCGGACCGACAAGUCAGGUGUGAAAUCCAUUGGCUUAACCAAUGAACUGCACUUGAAACUGUAGGCCUUGAGAGUCGGAGAGGUAAGCGGAAUUCCUAGUGUAGCGGUGAAAUGCGUAGAUAUUAGGAAGAACACCAGUGGCGAAGGCGGCUUACUGGACUGUAACUGACAUUGAGGCUCGAAAGCGUGGGGAGCAAACAGGAUUAGAUACCCUGGUA
This 437-nucleotide ribosomal RNA is filed under the name uncultured Oscillospiraceae bacterium. Its description in RNAcentral is "partial 16S ribosomal RNA". It matches the Rfam family "Bacterial small subunit ribosomal RNA", at positions 341 to 792 of the family's 1533-position model. Lineage: Bacteria; Bacillati; Bacillota; Clostridia; Eubacteriales; Oscillospiraceae. The record is from RNAcentral.